CGGUGGAGCAUGUGGUUUAAUUCGAUGCAACGCGAAAAACCUUACCACUUCUUGACAUGGAGGCUAGAUCCUUCUUAACGGAAGGGCGCAGUUCGGCUGGGCCUCGCACAGGUGCUGCAUGGCUGUCGUCAGCUCGUGUCGUGAGAUGUUGGGUUAAGUCCCGCAACGAGCGUAACCCUCAUCCUUAGUUACCAGCGGGUAAUGCCGGGCACUUUAAGGAAACUGCCAGUGAUAAACUGGAGGAAGGUGGGGAUGAUGUCAAGUCAGCACGGCCCUUAUGGGGUGGGCUACACACGUGCUACAAUGGCGACUACAAUAGGU
This 321-nucleotide ribosomal RNA is filed under the name uncultured Anaplasma sp. RNAcentral describes it as "bacterial SSU rRNA". It matches the Rfam family "Bacterial small subunit ribosomal RNA", at positions 930 to 1247 of the family's 1533-position model. Lineage: Bacteria; Pseudomonadati; Pseudomonadota; Alphaproteobacteria; Rickettsiales; Anaplasmataceae. The record is from RNAcentral.